This 253-nucleotide unclassified non-coding RNA is filed under the name uncultured Bacteriovoracaceae bacterium. Its description in RNAcentral is "contains 16S-23S intergenic spacer region". It matches the Rfam family "Bacterial small subunit ribosomal RNA", at positions 524 to 776 of the family's 1533-position model. The record is from RNAcentral. Lineage: Bacteria; Pseudomonadati; Bdellovibrionota; Bacteriovoracia; Bacteriovoracales; Bacteriovoracaceae.
UACGAAGGGUGCAAGCGAUGUUCGGAUUUAUUGGGCGUAAAGCGCGCGCAGGCGGAUGAUUAAGCCAGGUGUGAAAUCUCGGGGCUCAACCCCGAAAUUGCGACUGGAACUGGUUAUCUAGAAUCUCGGAGGGGGAUGGGGAAUUUCGCAUGUAGGGGUAAAAUCCGUAGAGAUGCGAAGGAACACUUGUGGCGAAGGCGCCAUCCUGGACGAGAAUUGACGCUGAGGCGCGAAAGCGUGGGGAGCAAACAGG